UAUUAAGUAAUUAAGCGCACAUGAUGGAUGCCUAGGCAGCCAUAAACUAUGAAAGACGUUAUAGCCUGCGAUAAGCUUCGGGGAAAUGGCAUAUAAUUUAUGAUCCGACGAUGUCUGAAUGGGGAAACCUAUCGAUUUUUAUCGAUGUUUACAAAUAAAAACAUAGUUUGUAUUCGAUAACCGAGAGAACUGAAACAUCUAAGUAUCUCGAGGAAAAUAUAUCAAAAGAUAUUCCCUUAGUAGUGGCGAGCGAAUGGGGAAAAGUCCUAAAAAUAAUAUAUUAUUUUUAAUAUUAAUUAUUUUUGAUAAAUUAAUUGUUUGGAAUAACAAACCAUAGAAGGUGAUAGUCCUGUAAUUAAAAUCAAUUUAUUAUUAAAUUGAGUAUAUUGGGACACGUGUAAUCCUGAUAGAAUAUGGGGGGACCAUCCUCCAAGACUAAAUAUUUAUGGUUGACCGAUAGUGAACUAGUACCGUGAGGGAAAGGUGAAAAGUACCCCUGUUAGGGCAGUGAAAUAGAUCCUGAAAUCAUGUGCGUACAAGCAGUAGUAGCAAUAUAAUUUAAUAAUAUAUAUUAUUUAUGUGACUGCGUACCUUUUGUAUAAUGGGUCAGCGACUUAUUUUCGGUAGCUAGCUUAACUAUAUAAGGUAGGCAUAGGGAAACCGAGUCUAAAAUGGGCAAUAAAGUUUUCGAAAAUAGACCCGAAACCGGGCGAUCUAUCCAUGAGCAGGUUGAAAGUUGAGUAAUAUUAACUGAAGGACCGAACCGGGAUCUGUUGAAAAAGAUUCGGAUGACUUGUGGAUAGGAGUGAAAGGCUAAUCAAGCUCGGAGAUAGCUGGUUCUCCUCGAAAGCUAUUUAGGUAGCGCCUUACAUAUCUUCGUUGGGGGUAUAGCACUGUUUCGACUAAGGGGUCAUACCGACUUACUAAAUCGAUGCAAACUUAAAAUACCAGCGAUUGCAAUGUGGGAGACACACUAUGGGUGCUAACAUCCUUAGUGGAAAGGGAAACAACCCAGAUCGUCAGCUAAGGUCCCUAAAUUAUGGUUAAGUGGAAAACGAUGUAAGAAGGCAUAAACAGCUAGGAGGUUAGCUUAGAAGCAGCUAUCCUUUAAAGAAAGCGUAAUAGCUCACUAGUCUAGUCAACUUGCGCGGAAGAUAUAACGGGGCUUAAAUCAUAUACCGAAGCUACGAGUUUAAUAAUAAAAUUUUUAAUAUUUAUAUUUUUAUUAUUGAGCGGUAGAGGAGCGUUGUGUAAAUCUUAGAAGGUUUAUUGUAAAUUAAACUGGAGAUAUCACAAGUGCGAAUGCUGACAUGAGUAACGAUAAGGAAGUUGAAAAUACUUCCCGCCGUAAAACCAAGGAUUUCUGUUCAACGUUAAUCGAAACAGAGUUAGUCGGUACCUAAGAUGAGGCGGAAACGCGUAUUUAAUGGAAAACAGAUUAAUAUUUCUGUACCAUAUAUUAUUUACGAUUGGGGUGACUAAGAAAGCUAGGCUAGCCUGUUUUUGGUUUACAGGUUAAAAUAAAUAGAUUUAAAAGUUAGUAAAAUACGGCUUUUUUAUUAAAUUGAGAUAUUAUAAUAAUAAAAUUUUUAUGUUUUAAAAAUAGUUUAUGCUAUACUUACAAGAAAAACCCCUAAGAAAUAUGUAAUAUAUGACCGUACCUUAAACCGACACAGGUGGUUAAGUAGAGAAUACUAAGGCGCUUGAGAGAACUCGGGUAAAGGAACUAGGCAAAAUGACACCGUAACUUCGGAAGAAGGUGUGCUGAAUAAUUGUAAAAUUCUAAAGUUAUCAAAUUAAGCAAUAAUCAGUCGAAGAUACCAGGUGGUUGCAACUGUUUAUUAAAAACACAGCACUCUGCUAACGCGUAAGCGGAUAUAUAGGGUGUGACGCCUGCCCGGUGCCGGAAGGUUAAUUGAUAUAGUUAGUUUUUUUAUAAAAACAAAGCUGUUGAUUGAAGCCCCGGUAAACGGCGGCCGUAACUAUAACGGUCCUAAGGUAGCGAAAUUCCUUGUCGGGUAAGUUCCGACCUGCACGAAUGGCGUAAUGAUAGCCACACUGUCUCUAUCCGAGACUCAGUGAAAUUGAAAUUGCUGUGAAGAUGCAGUAUUCCCGCGACUAGACGGAAAGACCCCGUGAACCUUUACUAUAACUUCAUAUUGAAUAUUUAUUUUAUUUGUGUAGUAUAGCUGGUAGAUAAUGAAUCAAAAAUGCUAGUUUUUGUUGAAUCAAAAUUGAAAUACCAGCCUAAUAGAAUUGAUAUUCUAAUUUUAUACCGUUAUCCGGUAUAAAUACAGUGUGUGGUGGAUAGUUUGACUGGGGCGGUCUCCUCCUAAAGAGUAACGGAGGAGCACAAUGGUACCCUCAAUACGUUUAGAAAUCGUAUUAUGAGUGUAAGAGCAUAAGGGUGCUUAACUGCGAGACAUACACGUCGAGCAGAUACGAAAGUAGGUUCUAGUGAUCCGGUGGUUCUGUAUGGAAAGGCCAUCGCUCAACGAAUAAAAGGUACUCCGGGGAUAACAGGCUAAUACCGCCCAAGAGUUCACAUCGACGGCGGUGUUUGGCACCUCGAUGUCGGCUCAUCACAUCCUGGGGCUGCAGUAGGUCCCAAGGGUAUGGCUGUUCGCCAUUUAAAGUGGUACGCGAGCUGGGUUUAGAACGUCGUGAGACAGUUCGGUCCCUAUCUGUCGUGGGCGUUGGAAGUUUGAGAAGAGCUGCUCCUAGUACGAGAGGACCGGAGUGGAUGAACCUCUGAUGUUCCGGUUGUUAUGCCAAUAGCAUUGCCGGGUAGUUAUGUUCAGACAAGAUAACCGCUGAAAGCAUAUAAGCAGGAAACUUACUUCAAGAUAAGACUUCCCAGAAAAGAUAUUUUCUUUUCCUAAAGGACCCUUAAAUACUAUGAGGUAGAUAGGCAUGAUGUAUAAUAACAGUAAUGUUUUCAGCUAACGUGUACUAAUUUGUCCGUGAGACUUUAUAAU
Molecule: ribosomal RNA, 2978 nt
Rfam family: Bacterial large subunit ribosomal RNA
Source: Rfam